This 703-nucleotide ribosomal RNA is filed under the name uncultured bacterium. RNAcentral describes it as "bacterial SSU rRNA". It matches the Rfam family "Bacterial small subunit ribosomal RNA", at positions 173 to 883 of the family's 1533-position model. The record is from RNAcentral.
AUCAUAGAAGGCAUCUUUUAUGGUUGAAAAUUCCGAUGGUUAGAGAUGGGCAUGCGUUGUAUUAGCUAGUUGGUGGGGUAACGGCUCACCAAGGCGACGAUACAUAGGGGGACUGAGAGGUUAACCCCCCACACUGGUACUGAGACACGGACCAGACUCCUACGGGAGGCAGCAGUGAGGAAUAUUGGUCAAUGGACGCAGGUCUGAACCAGCCAUGCCGCGUGCAGGAUGACGGCUCUAUGAGUUGUAAACUGCUUUUGUACGAGGGUAAACGCAGAUACGUGUAUCUGUCUGAAAGUAUCGUACGAAUAAGGAUCGGCUAACUCCGUGCCAGCAGCCGCGGUAAUACGGAGGAUUCAAGCGUUAUCCGGAUUUAUUGGGUUUAAAGGGUGCGUAGGCGGUUUGAUAAGUUAGAGGUGAAAUUUCGGGGCUCAACCCUGAACGUGCCUCUAAUACUGUUGAGCUAGAGAGUAGUUGCGGUAGGCGGAAUGUAUGGUGUAGCGGUGAAAUGCUUAGAGAUCAUACAGAACACCGAUUGCGAAGGCAGCUUACCAAACUAUAUCUGACGUUGAGGCACGAAAGCGUGGGGAGCAAACAGGAUUAGAUACCCUGGUAGUCCACGCAGUAAACGAUGAUAACUCGUUGUCGGCGAUACACAGUCGGUGACUAAGCGAAAGCGAUAAGUUAUCCACCUGGGGAGUAC